This 30-nucleotide non-coding RNA is filed under the name Homo sapiens (human). Lineage: Eukaryota; Metazoa; Chordata; Mammalia; Primates; Hominidae. The record is from RNAcentral.
UAGGCUUUGUACCUGGGUGAUGAAAUAAUC